Mauremys reevesii (Reeves's turtle) is the source of this 266-nucleotide long non-coding RNA. RefSeq lists it as uncharacterized. The transcript has 3 exons. Lineage: Eukaryota; Metazoa; Chordata; Testudines; Geoemydidae. The record is from RefSeq and is a predicted model, not a curated record.
GAGGGAGGGCCCAGGCUGCCUGGGGAGACCCAGCGAUCUUUCUCACAGGAAAUUGACUGUCUUACAUUUUGUUUUGGAAGAAAGAUUGUAAUUACUGAGGAGGUCAGGACUGAGUUGGCCAUGCACAAAUGUCUCUCAAAUCUUACCAGGAAGAAAUAUUGCACUUUGCAAAAUGUGGUGAUAUUUCAUUGACACUACAUAAUGUACUGCACAGCAUAUUCUAAAGUUCAUCACGAUAAAGCCUCUGUCCUGCAGUGGAGAUAAAA